RNAcentral lists this ribosomal RNA (395 nucleotides) under uncultured bacterium. RNAcentral's name for it is "partial 16S ribosomal RNA". It matches the Rfam family "Bacterial small subunit ribosomal RNA", at positions 361 to 773 of the family's 1533-position model. The record is from RNAcentral.
AUAUUGGACAAUGGGCGUAAGCCUGAUCCACCCCUGCCGCGUGUGUGAUGAAGGCCCUAUGGUUGUAAAGCUCUUUCAUCGUUGACGAUAAUGACGGUAACCGUAUAUGAAGUCCCGGCUACCUUCGUGCCAUCAGCCGCGGUAAUACGAAGGAGGCUAGCGUUGUUCGGAAUUAUUGGGCGUAAAGCGCACGUAGGCGGACAUUUAAGUCAGAGGUGAAAUCCCGGGGCUCAACCCCGGAACUGCCUUUGAUACUGGGUGUCUCGAGUGCGGAAGAGGUGAGUGGAAGUCCGAGUGUAGAGGUGAAAUUCGUAGAUAUUCGGAGGAACACCAGUGGCGAAGGCGGCUCACUGGUCCGGUACUGACGCCGAGGUGCGAAAGCGUGGGGAGCAAAC